Brassica napus (rape) is the source of this 1023-nucleotide long non-coding RNA. RefSeq lists it as uncharacterized. Lineage: Eukaryota; Viridiplantae; Streptophyta; Magnoliopsida; Brassicales; Brassicaceae. The transcript is spliced from 4 exons. The record is from RefSeq and is a predicted model, not a curated record.
CGCCAGUUCUUUCAAGACUGCAAUGAAAUAGCUGAUCUUUGCGAUAGUGCAGAACUUAUCUUCUCAAACGAACCAACUGUAUUAUAGCUUAGAGCUCCUAUCAAAAUAUUUGGGGAUCUUAUGCGCCUUUUUGAUGAAUACGGUUAACAUUCCACAGCUGGAGACAUUUCAUACAUCGAUUACCUUUUCUUAGGGGACUAUGUUGAUAGGGGUCAACACAGUCUAGAAACAAUCUCCCUUCUCCUUGCAUUAAAGGUUGAGUACCAGCAUAAUGUACACCUGAUUCGAGGAAACCAUGAAGCUGCGGAUAUUAACGCUCUUUUUGGCUUCCGAGUAGAGUGUAUUGAGAGAAUGGUACUUGUUUCUAUGCCAUGUUUUGCUGUUCUCAUGAUGUUGUUGUUUGGCAGGUUUAACGCGAUGGAAUCUAGGUGUGGCAUCGAAUAAACCGUUUGUUUAAUUGGCUAUCUCUGGCUGCAUUGGUAGAGAAGAAAAUUAUAUGUAUGCAUGGGGGUAUUGGUCGUUGUAUAUAUCAUGUGGAGAAGAUUGAGAAUAUACAACGUCCAAUUACAAUGGACGCUGGCUCUAUUAUGCUCAUGGAUUUGUUAUGGAGCUGAACGCAAAUAGGCCAGCAACACUAACCAGAGGACGCCCACUAUAAACGACAAAGGAGGUUCUCUGGCUUCGAUGUAAGGUUGAAGAAGAGGCACUCGUGCACAUCUGCCUCCUGGUGUUUCACUUCAUGUUUGUGUGCAGAAAAGAUGAGGUCUGGAGAUAUCAGCGGCGGUGUAAAUUGAGAUGACAGAAAGGGUAGAAAAGUCAGUUUUGGUGGUGAUUUGGUAGUAGUGAUAUGUAGAGUUUAUUCUUUUUAGUCUCUUUCAAUUUUUACUCAAAUCUGUUUCCUAUAAUGUAUCUUUUUAUUUAUCUGUAUCAUAUAGACAUUGGGGCUUUUGUGUAUUUUUUUUUUUUUAUUAACUCAUAAUUUUGUAACGUUUGUGUUGAUAAUAUCAUGUUCAUGAGCGUUUU